UACAGAGGUGACAAACGUUGUCCGGAAUUAUUGGGCGUAGAGGGCGCGUAGGUGGUUGAGUAAGUCAGGUGUGAAAGCUCUGGGCUUAACCCAGGAAUUGCAUCUGAUACUGCUCGGCUUGAGUACGGUAGAGGAGGGUGGAAUUCCCAGUGUAGCGGUGAAAUGCGUAGAUAUUGGGAGGAACACCGGUGGCGAAGGCGGCCCUCUGGACCGAAACUGACACUGAAGCGCGAAAGCUAGGGGAGCAAACGGG
RNAcentral lists this ribosomal RNA (253 nucleotides) under uncultured bacterium. RNAcentral describes it as "partial 16S ribosomal RNA". It matches the Rfam family "Bacterial small subunit ribosomal RNA", at positions 524 to 776 of the family's 1533-position model. The record is from RNAcentral.